Molecule: long non-coding RNA, 2760 nt
Filed under: Mus musculus (house mouse)
Lineage: Eukaryota; Metazoa; Chordata; Mammalia; Rodentia; Muridae
Description: long non-coding RNA chr4:111339819-111342579
Source: RNAcentral
CUUCAGCACCAAGUAGGCUAUCAUGGAGGGAAUAGCUCUUAGCCUGGUGGUGAACACAGAGGUCAAUGUGGAAAACAGCCUCAGAAAGCCCCUUUUGAAAGGCAAACAGUAGGUGGAUGUGUUAUGCCUUUGACAUCUCCAGUCAACAGUAUAUAGACAUGGCAUUUCUCAGUGUUCAGAGGAAGCCCUUGGGGUAGAUUUUCAGCUAUUGGCAAUUGGAAGUUCUUCAAUUCAUGCAGAAAUAUUAGGUGCUAAAAGUAUUUGUGGAACUGCAAGGUGACUCCACAAGUACUUGCCUCACUGGCCAUCAGGCAGAGGGGAAGGUAGAGAUGUGUAUCAACCCUUAUUAACUCUUAGAAGUAGCCACUUCUGCCCAAAUGCCCCUAAUCAAAGAAAGUCACCACGUAGUUUCUAAAUUCAAUGGAUGCAGAUAUAUAUUCUUCUCAAGGGGCAAGGCAUAUGCAUGAAGACAACUAAACUGAAAUAUUUGAACUUGACUAAUACACUUUGUUAUACUUCUCCAAAGAUUUUAAUAUUCUCACAAUCACAUUAAAAGUGCUGGCCAAUCUUUGUAAAGGGAAACUUUAUUGGAAUAUAAGUCCAGUUUUGUGAAUUUCAUCCUUUUGGUGGUGGUCUGUAUGUUCACAAUCAUCACCAUCUGCUUCCACAUUAUCAUCACAAACUACAUAUCAAACUCAUGGUCACUUCCUGUUUCUUUUUUACGGCAUCCGUUAGCAAACAGUAAUGUACUUCCUGUCUCUAUUACUUGCCCAUUCUACAGAUUUCAAACCAGCUGCCUCAUACCAUGUAUGGUCUUUGUGGUUGACUUUUUAUUUUGUUACUUACUGUAACCUCUUCAGGUUUCACUCACGAUGUAAUGAGUAUCAGAACUUUAUUGCUUUUUAUUGGUGCACAAUGCUUCCUUGUAAGUUUAUCCACAGUUUAUCCAUUCAUCUGUCCAUGGGAAUGUUGAAUUGGUUCCAUUUGAAGUUUUUUUAAAUAUACUUCUAUAGACAUUUGUAUCAAGGUUUUAGGUAGACUUAGAUUUUCAGUUUUUCAAGCAUGUACCUAUGAAUAGAAUCGCUGCUAAUAUAUUAAACUUUAGAAUAAACAUAUUGAAAAACUGACAAAACAGUUAUAUGACUCUGUCAUUUUACAUUCCCAGCUAUAGCAUAGGACAAUCCCAUUUUUUCACACCAUUUCCAACACUUGUCAUGUCUUUUUAUUGUAGUCAUACUGUUGAGUAUAAAGUAAUAUCUCAUUGUGAUUUAAGUAUGUGUUUUCCUUAGUGUCUAAUAAUGUUGGCUAUAAUUUUAUGAGUUUAUAAAACAUGUGUCUAGUUUCCUUGGAGAAAUAGCUGUGCUGUUUGCUCUUCCCAUUUUAAUCAGGUUAUAUUUUCCACUUUAUUACUUAGUGGUUGGAUUUUAGUGUAUUUCUACAUGUAUAGAUUAUGGGUAACUUUAUCAGAUUAAGAAUUUGCAGGUAAUUUUUGUUUAUAAUCUGUGUGUUUAUUUUUUGUUUGUCUGCUUGUUUGUUUUGCUUUCUCAAUACUGUUCUUUGAAAUAUUUCUGUUUGUUUUGAUGAAGUCCAACUCACCUCUCUGUCUCUCCCUCUCUUUCCCUCUCCCCCACCCCCUCUCUCUCUGUGUUCUCUAUACCCUGUGUCCUCUAUACCCUAGUUUCUGAGACAGAUCCUCUUUGCUGAGCUUGCAGCUCAUUGAUUUCAGUGCACCAGAAAAAAAAAUCUGCUUAGAGCACUGGAUUUCAGAGGCAAGCCACCAUGCUGGCUUUGGUUGGGUGCUGGGGUCCAAACUCAGGUCCCCAUGCUUACAUGGUAGGCACUAACCCACUGAACCAUCUCCCUGGCACUUGUCUUUCUUUCAUUGCUUAUAUUUUUUGUGCCAUAUCUCAGAGAACACCCAGGAACACAACUGCGUGGGGAUAUACUCAUAUUUUCUUCAGAGUUCUGUGAUGCUAAAUCCUUUCCUACUGUUAGAUACCAUUGUAAUUUGGGAAUGUAAUUAGACCUUAUUCUUCUUUCUCAAACAAAAGGCCAACACACCUAUGUUGCUAGAGCCAAGGAAACUCUAUACUGUCAAGGACAUCAUAGUCAAAGGUGAUUCCUCACUAGUUGAGCUGCAUCCUAGAGAAACAUUUGAUUUUCCAUGUACCAUAGAAAUAUCCAGGAGAAAAAUAUCUACAAGGUUCUUUUUCUUCUCCCAAGUUUGUUAAAAUACUGAUAAGCCAAACCUGCUGGCCAUUGCACGACAAGUCUGAGGUUGUCUCCAACUCAAGUCCCUCACGUGUAAACUCGACUCUUUGAAGAACAAAGAAAUGUGAAACUUCUAGCUGUUCUCACCACAGAGCCAGUUCCCGAUCCAUGGACCAGUGAAGCUGAGCAGACAGCGUAGUGGAACACAGCAGUGAUAUUUUAAAAAAUGCAUCCAUGUCAUUAAAAGUGGCUUCAAGAACAUCCUUAGAGAAGAAAAAUAAAUUACUCCUAAUCCACAGCCCUAGCACAAUACAAGGCCUAAUUCUGUUUCUACAUUUUCCUUUUCAGUUCUUGUCUCUGUGCAGAAACAUAUUUACAUAAUUGCAAUCACAGUAAGUUUUCAUAUACAUCUUUUUUCACUUAGCAUUAUUUUUCAUAAACAAUCUUCAUGUUGCUAUGUAUUUUACAUACUUACCAUCUUUUUAUAACCUUUUUUUUUAUAAAAAAAUUAUACACGUCCCAGGAACAAAAUCUGAGAAAGAAACACAG